Molecule: ribosomal RNA, 492 nt
Filed under: uncultured bacterium
Lineage: Bacteria
Description: partial 16S ribosomal RNA
Rfam family: Bacterial small subunit ribosomal RNA
Source: RNAcentral
AGUGAACGCUGGCGGUAGGCCUAACACAUGCAAGUCGAACGGCAGCACCGUAAGAGCUUGCUCUUACGGGUGGCGAGUGGCGGACGGGUGAGGAAUACAUCGGACUCUACUUUUUCGUGGGGGAUCACGUAGGGAAACUUACGCUAAUACCGCAUCCGACCUACGGGUGAAAGCAGGGGAUCUUCGGACCUUGCGCGAUUGAAUGAGCCGAUGUCGGAGUAGAUAGUUGGCGGGGUAAAGGCCAACCAAGGCGCCGAUCCGUAGCUGGUCGGAGAGGAUGGUCAGCCGCACGGGAACGGAGACGGCGUCCAGACUCCUGCGGGAGGCAGCAGUGUGGAAUAUUGGACAAUGGGCGCAAGCCUGAUCCAGCCAGACCGCGUGGGUGAAGAAGGCCUUCGGGGUGUAAAGCCCGUUUGUUGGGAAAGAAAAGCAGCAGGUUAAUACCCCGCUGUUCUGACGGUACCCAAAGAAUAAGCACCGGCUAACUUCGUG